This 105-nucleotide ribosomal RNA is filed under the name uncultured bacterium. RNAcentral's name for it is "partial 16S ribosomal RNA". It matches the Rfam family "Bacterial small subunit ribosomal RNA", at positions 1378 to 1482 of the family's 1533-position model. The record is from RNAcentral.
CCGUUGUACACACCGCCCGUCACACCAUGGGAGCGGGUUCUGCCAGAAGUAGUUAGCCUAACCGCAAGGAGGGCGAUUACCACGGCAGGGUUCGUGACGUGGGUG